CCGUUCUGCACCGUAUCUCUGGAUUUGCGGACCCAUUUAAGUGAAUGGGUCCGCAGCCGUGAUGCGGAAUGCAUGCGGCCGGUGUCCCGUUUAUUGCGGACUCGCAGUAUGCGGGCCACAAUACGGCCACGGGGGACACACGGUCGUGUGCAAGAGGCCUUACAUUUAUGCAUUGUGUUUAUAAGAGGGCCUAA
This is a long non-coding RNA of Bufo bufo (common toad), 194 nucleotides long. RefSeq lists it as uncharacterized. The record is from RefSeq and is a predicted model, not a curated record. The transcript is spliced from 3 exons. Lineage: Eukaryota; Metazoa; Chordata; Amphibia; Anura; Bufonidae.